RNAcentral lists this ribosomal RNA (1373 nucleotides) under uncultured bacterium. RNAcentral describes it as "bacterial SSU rRNA". It matches the Rfam family "Bacterial small subunit ribosomal RNA", at positions 28 to 1381 of the family's 1533-position model. The record is from RNAcentral.
GAUGAACGCUGGCGGCGUGCCUAAUACAUGCAAGUCGAGCGAACGGACGAGAAGCUUGCUUCUCUGAUGUUAGCGGCGGACGGGUGAGUAACACGUGGAUAACCUACCUAUAAGACUGGGAUAACUUCGGGAAACCGGAGCUAAUACCGGAUAAUAUUUUGAACCGCAUGGUUCAAAAGUGAAAGACGGUCUUGCUGUCACUUAUAGAUGGAUCCGCGCUGCAUUAGCUAGUUGGUAAGGUAACGGCUUACCAAGGCAACGAUGCAUAGCCGACCUGAGAGGGUGAUCGGCCACACUGGAACUGAGACACGGUCCAGACUCCUACGGGAGGCAGCAGUAGGGAAUCUUCCGCAAUGGGCGAAAGCCUGACGGAGCAACGCCGCGUGAGUGAUGAAGGUCUUCGGAUCGUAAAACUCUGUUAUUAGGGAAGAACAUAUGUGUAAGUAACUGUGCACAUCUUGACGGUACCUAAUCAGAAAGCCACGGCUAACUACGUGCCAGCAGCCGCGGUAAUAUGUAGGUGGCAAGCGUUAUCCGGAAUUAUUGGGCGUAAAGCGCGCGUAGGCGGUUUUUUAAAUCUGAUGUGAAAGCCCACGGCUCAACCGUGGAGGGUCAUUGGAAACUGGAAAACUUGAGUGCAGAAAAGGAAAGUGGAAUUCCAUGUGUAGCGGUGAAAUGCGCAGAGAUAUGGAGGAACACCAGUGGCGAAGGCGACUUUCUGGUCUGUAACUGACGCUGAUGUGCGAAAGCGUGGGGAUCAAACAGGAUUAGAUACCCUGGUAGUCCACGCCGUAAACGAUGAGUGCUAAGUGUUAGGGGGUUUCCGCCCCUUAGUGCUGCAGCUAACGCAUUAAGCACUUCCGCCUGGGGAGUACGACCGCAAGGUUGAAACUCAAAGGAAUUGACGGGGACCCGCACAAGCGGUGGAGCAUGUGGUUUAAUUCGAAGCAACGCGAAGAACCUUACCAAAUCUUGACAUCCUUUGACAACUCUAGAGAUAGAGCUUUCCCCUUCGGGGGACAAAGUGACAGGUGGUGCAUGGUUGUCGUCAGCUCGUGUCGUGAGAUGUUGGGUUAAGUCCCGCAACGAGCGCAACCCUUAAGCUUAGUUGCCAUCAUUAAGUUGGGCACUCUAAGUUGACUGCCGGUGACAAACCGGAGGAAGGUGGGGAUGACGUCAAAUCAUCAUGCCCCUUAUGAUUUGGGCUACACACGUGCUACAAUGGACAAUACAAAGGGCAGCGAAACCGUGAGGUCAAGCAAAUCCCAUAAAGUUGUUCUCAGUUCGGAUUGUAGUCUGCAACUCGACUACAUGAAGCUGGAAUCGCUAGUAAUCGUAGAUCAGCAUGCUACGGUGAAUACGUUCCCGGGUCU